AUUGAACGCUGGCGGCAGGCCUAACACAUGCAAGUCGAGCGGAUGAAGGGAGCUUGCUCCUGGAUUCAGCGGCGGACGGGUGAGUAAUGCCUAGGAAUCUGCCUGGUAGUGGGGGAUAAAUUCCGGAAACGGGCGCUAAUACCGCAUACGUCCUGAGGGAGAAAGUGGGGGAUCUUCGGACCUCACGCUAUCAGAUGAGCCUAGGUCGGAUUAGCUAGUUGGUGGGGUAAAGGCCUACCAAGGCGACGAUCCGUAACUGGUCUGAGAGGAUGAUCAGUCACAAUGGAACUGGGACACGGUCCAGAGUAAUACGGGAGGCAGCAGUGGGGAAUAUUGGACAAUAGGCGAAGGCCUGAUACAGCCAUGCAGCGUGUGUGAAGAAGGUCUUCGGAUUGUAAAGCACUUUAAGUUGGGAGGAAGGGCAGUAAGUUAAUACCUUGCUGUUUUGACGUUACCAACAGAAUAAGCACCGGCUAACUUCGUG
RNAcentral lists this ribosomal RNA (484 nucleotides) under uncultured bacterium. Its description in RNAcentral is "partial 16S ribosomal RNA". It matches the Rfam family "Bacterial small subunit ribosomal RNA", at positions 30 to 507 of the family's 1533-position model. The record is from RNAcentral.